CAAGGGGAACCGAAAACCUUUUAAAAGAGUAGGAA
RNAcentral lists this non-coding RNA (35 nucleotides) under unclassified sequences. RNAcentral's name for it is "DUF805b RNA". It matches the Rfam family "DUF805b RNA". Rfam says of the family: Bacteroidetes, Chlorobi (1 example), Proteobacteria. Lineage (Flavobacteria) The record is from RNAcentral.